RNAcentral lists this ribosomal RNA (522 nucleotides) under Triticum aestivum (bread wheat). Its description in RNAcentral is "partial small subunit ribosomal RNA". The record is from RNAcentral. Lineage: Eukaryota; Viridiplantae; Streptophyta; Magnoliopsida; Poales; Poaceae.
AUGGCGACCUCCCCGGUGCUCUUCCUCCUCCUCGCUGUUUUCGCCGCCGGUGCCAGCGCGGCCACCUUCAACAUCAAGAACAACUGUGGCUUCACAAUUUGGCCGGCGGGCAUCCCGGUGGGUGGGGGCUUCGCGCUGGGCUCAGGGCAGACGUCCAGCAUCAACGUGCCCGCGGGCACCCAAGCCGGGAGGAUAUGGGCCCGCACCGGGUGCUCCUUCAAUGGCGGUAGCGGGAGCUGCCAGACCGGCGACUGCGGCGGCCAGCUAUCCUGCUCCCUCUCCGGGCGGCCACCAGCAACGCUGGCCGAGUACACCAUCGGCGGCGGCAGCACCCAGGACUUCUACGACAUCUCGGUGAUCGACGGCUUCAACCUUGCCAUGGACUUCUCGUGCAGCACCGGCGACGCGCUCCAGUGCAGGGACCCCAGCUGCCCGCCGCCGCAAGCCUACCAACACCCCAACGACGUCGCCACACACGCCUGCAGUGGCAAUAAUAACUACCAGAUCACCUUCUGUCCAUGA